ACGCACGCUGGCGGCGUGCUUCACACAUGCAAGUCGCACGAAAAGAGGGAAAGAGCUUGCUCUUUCCGGAAUUGAGUGGCAAACGGGUGAGUAACACGUAAACAGCCUGCCUUCAGGAUGGGGACAACAGACGGAAACGACUGCUAAUACCGAAUAAGUUCCAAGGGCCGCAUGGCCCAUGGAAGAAAAGGUGGCCUCUACCUGUAAGCUAUCGCCUGAAGAGGGGUUUGCGUCUGAUUAGCUGGUUGGAGGGGUAACGGCCCACCAAGGCGACGAUCAGUAGCCGGUCUGAGAGGAUGAACGGCCACACUGGAAUUGAGACACGGUCCAGACUCCUACGGGAGGCAGCAGUGGGGAAUCUUCCGCAAUGGGCGAAAGCCUGACGGAGCAACGCCGCGUGAGUGAUGACGGCCUUCGGGUUGUAAAACUCUGUGAUCCGGGACGAAAAGGCAGAGUGCGAAGAACAAACUGCAUUGACGGUACCGGAAAAGCAAGCCACGGCUAACUACGUG
RNAcentral lists this ribosomal RNA (512 nucleotides) under uncultured bacterium. RNAcentral describes it as "partial 16S ribosomal RNA". It matches the Rfam family "Bacterial small subunit ribosomal RNA", at positions 29 to 507 of the family's 1533-position model. The record is from RNAcentral.